This 494-nucleotide ribosomal RNA is filed under the name uncultured bacterium. RNAcentral's name for it is "partial 16S ribosomal RNA". It matches the Rfam family "Bacterial small subunit ribosomal RNA", at positions 28 to 507 of the family's 1533-position model. The record is from RNAcentral.
GACGAACGCUGGCGGCGUGCUUAACACAUGCAAGUCGAACGGUGAAGCGCCUUCCUUUUUGGUGGGUGUGGAUGAGUGGCGAACGGGUGAGUAACACGUGAGUAACCUGCCCCCUUCUUCUGGAUAACCGCAUGAAAGUGUGGCUAAUACGGGAUAUUCUGGGUCUGUCGCAUGAUGGGUCUGGGAAAGAUAUUGUUUCGGUGGGGGAUGGGCUCGCGGCCUAUCAGCUUGUUGGUGGGGUGAUGGCCUACCAAGGCGGUGACGGGUAGCCGGCCUGAGAGGGUGGACGAUCACACUGGGACUGAGACACGGCCCAGACUCCUACGGGAGGCAGCAGUGGGGAAUAUUGCACAAUGGGCGCAAGCCUGAUGCAGCGACGCCGCGUGAGGGAUGGAGGCCUUCGGGUUGUGAACCUCUUUCGCCAGUGAAGCAGGCCUGCCUCGUUUGUGGGUGGGUUGACGGUAGCUGGAUAAGAAGCGCCGGCUAACUACGUG